GUGUACGAGUGGUACAUGCCGAUUCCGAGCACCGGCCGCGCCCACUUGGCGACUGCGCAGUGGCUUUGCUAGCC
This 74-nucleotide small RNA is filed under the name Xanthomonas vasicola. RNAcentral's name for it is "sX9". The record is from RNAcentral. Lineage: Bacteria; Pseudomonadati; Pseudomonadota; Gammaproteobacteria; Lysobacterales; Lysobacteraceae.